RNAcentral lists this ribosomal RNA (419 nucleotides) under uncultured bacterium. RNAcentral's name for it is "bacterial SSU rRNA". It matches the Rfam family "Bacterial small subunit ribosomal RNA", at positions 355 to 772 of the family's 1533-position model. The record is from RNAcentral.
UAAGGAAUAUUGGUCAAUGGACGCAAGUCUGAACCAGCCAUGCCGCGUGGAGGAUGAAGGCCCUCUGGGUUGUAAACUUCUUUUAUGGGGGACGAAAUCACUUAUUCUUAAGUGUCUGACGGUACCCCAGGAAUAAGCACCGGCUAACUCCGUGCCAGCAGCCGCGGUAAUACGGAGGGUGCAAGCGUUAUCCGGAUUCACUGGGUUUAAAGGGUGCGUAGGAGGGUGAGUAAGUCAGUGGUGAAAUCUUCGAGCUUAACUCGGAAACUGCCGUUGAUACUACUUGUCUUGAAUAUCGUGGAGGUGAGCGGAAUAUGUCAUGUAGCGGUGAAAUGCUUAGAUAUGACAUAGAACACCAAUUGCGAAGGCAGCUCGCUACACGAAUAUUGACUCUGAGGCACGAAAGCGUGGGGAUCAAA